AUGACGGCCUCCGUGCCCCUGAUCAUCUUUGGGUGUAGACAACCAUCCUUUCAGACGUUGCAGAGACUGCAGACUGAGAAGCCAGCCUUGGAGUGGAAGCUUAAGAGAGACGUCCUGGGGGUGAAAUUGGGCAAUUUGCAGCAACACUGGGAGGCGAGGAAGGGAUCAGGGGUGAGCCCCUCCAGACUCCGAAUAGGCGAUCAAGAGUUUGAUUCAUUGCCUGCUUUACUGGAAUUCUACAAAAUACACUAUUUGGACACUACAACGUUGAUAGAACCAGUUUCCAGAUCCAGGCAGGGUAGUGGAGUGAUUCUCAGGCAGGAGGAAGCAGAGUAUGUGCGAGCCCUCUUUGACUUUAAUGGGAAUGAUGAAGAAGAUCUUCCCUUUAAGAAAGGAGACAUCCUGAGAAUCCGGGAUAAGCCUGAAGAGCAGUGGUGGAAUGCAGAGGACAGCGAAGGCAAGAGAGGGAUGAUUCCAGUCCCUUACGUCGAGAAGUAUAGACCUGCCUCCGCCUCAGUAUCGGCUCUGAUUGGAGGUAACCAGGAGGGUUCCCACCCACAGCCACUGGGUGGGCCGGAGCCUGGGCCCUAUGCCCAACCCAGCGUCAACACUCCGCUCCCUAACCUCCAGAAUGGGCCCAUUUAUGCCAGGGUUAUCCAGAAGCGAGUCCCUAAUGCCUACGACAAGACAGCCUUGGCUUUGGAGGUACAUAAUGUGCAAAAUGUAGAAAGAAGAGAUCUGCUACAGGUCUCCCUUUCAGACCUCUUACAGCUUUGUAGGAAUGCUCAAUACAAGCACCAGCAUUGUGAUGUUGUUGUAGAUGUCGA
Molecule: RNA transcript, 827 nt
Organism: Galeopterus variegatus (Sunda flying lemur)
Lineage: Eukaryota; Metazoa; Chordata; Mammalia; Dermoptera; Cynocephalidae
Gene name: adapter molecule crk-like
Exons: 2
Source: RefSeq, a predicted model, not a curated record